RNAcentral lists this ribosomal RNA (253 nucleotides) under uncultured bacterium. RNAcentral describes it as "partial 16S ribosomal RNA". It matches the Rfam family "Bacterial small subunit ribosomal RNA", at positions 524 to 776 of the family's 1533-position model. The record is from RNAcentral.
UACAGAGGGUGCGAGCGUUGUUCGGAAUUACUGGGCGUAAAGGGCGCGUAGGCGGCUUCAUAAGUCUGUUGUGAAAUCCCGGGGCUUAACUCCGGAAGUGCAGUGGAAACUAUGAGGCUAGAGUGCAGUAGAGGAUGGCGGAAUACCCAGUGUAGAGGUGAAAUUCGUAGAUAUUGGGUGGAACACCGGUGGCGAAGGCGGCCAUCUGGGCUGCAACUGACGCUGAGGCGCGAAAGCGUGGGGAUCAAACAGG